This is a long non-coding RNA of Anguilla anguilla (European eel), 1291 nucleotides long. RefSeq lists it as uncharacterized. Lineage: Eukaryota; Metazoa; Chordata; Actinopteri; Anguilliformes; Anguillidae. The record is from RefSeq and is a predicted model, not a curated record. The transcript has 2 exons.
GACUCCAUAAAUAAUAAUUAUCAUCCUCACCUCAUACACCUGAUCUCCCUAAAGAAAUUUAGUAGUAUCUUGCUAACAACAGGACAGCCUGAGAACUCAUAGUAAAAACUGGCUACUGUGCACAAUUUUAUUUAAAGGGAUUAUUUGUAUCAACGUUCCAAACAUUUUCAGAAUCACACCAUUGGAUUAAAAAAAUUGGAUCUUAACCCUCUCAGUGUGGUUCACAGCUCAAGUGUAAUAAAGAGGGGUGUGUGGGGAAAUAACUCAUGGUUUUAAUAUUUGGCUCAAUUCUGAAAAUAUUACUAGAGGUAGAUUAAUCAUUUUUGAAUACAUUUCCUCCUUAGGAGCAAUUUCCAAACAAUUGAAGGUACCACGAGCAUCUGUACAAACAGCUGUAUGAGUAGCCAGGCGGAGAACUUAAUUCCUACUAGUUCCUAUAGACUACCCUAAAAUGGUACUACCCCUUUAAGAGUCCGCUGAUGUCAUGCGUGCGCAAUGCAUCAUUUGUACAGCCCGGUCAUGUAGUGCAAUUAGAGGUAAUUAACGCACUUGAUUAGGAACGGAUCGUACUGGAAAUGUAUGCAACAUCAACCCAAACUAAGACUGGCUGCACGGUGUGGCACUUAAACUCGUCUGGGAAUACUGUCUUUAACCACUCAAAAGGGUAAGUUGUCAACAUUCAAUGUAAAAAUGUUGUAAGCUGCAUUAUAUUUGUAUGUGUACGUUUAUUUUGGGGAAAAUACUAAAUUUGUAUGCUUCUGUCUGAUACAGAGGGGAGAGUUUUACUAUGCUGUGUUCCAUGUAUGCCGCUAAGUAGCAUGAGUUGCAUUACAGUGAGUCUUGGUUUAAUGACACUUUUUAUUUUGUAAAUGUAUUUGAUUCUUGGCAGCUAUGUACAUUAUUGGAAGUUGAUGCAUAUAAUGUUAAGAAUAUACUUUAUUCUGAAUGAUAUAGCCUGCCAUUGUCUAUGCCGUGCUGUUGUCUGUGCCAAUCUCUAUAGACUAGAUAGCAUGUGUUUGGAUUUUCCAGAGGCCCGUACUGAAGUUAGCAUAUAUGGUCCGUGUGUUCUGUGUGCACAUCAAGUGUAGGUAGAUAACCAGGAUACUGAGUGUGAAAAGGGUAUUCACUGUGGCUGUAUUCCUGGUAUCUUGGGUACUGCACAGUACUGGAGAGAAGACAUUUUAACUUCAGAGUGUGUUCUGUAAUACCAAUCCUGUUCUAAAUGCUCAAAACUACAAUUAAUGCUGUUCUUGGCUGAGAUCGGUCAGAGAAUAAAGAUCCCAAAAAGUUU